This 229-nucleotide unclassified non-coding RNA is filed under the name plant metagenome. Its description in RNAcentral is "partial contains small subunit ribosomal RNA, internal transcribed spacer 1, and 5.8S ribosomal RNA". The record is from RNAcentral.
UCUCCGUAGGUGAACCUGCGGAGGGAUCAUUACAGAGUUCAUGCCCUACCGGGUCGAUCUCCCACCCUAUGUUAUUAUUACUUUGUUGCUUUGGCGGGCCGUUAGGCUCCGGCCCGACUACCGGCCCCGGCUGGUAAGCGCCCGCCAGAGGACCCAAAACCCUGAAUAUUAGUGUCGUCUGAGUACUAUAUAAUAGUUAAAACUUUCGACAACGGAUCUCUUGGUUCUG